UAUAUAAAAAAGAGAUAUAACUAUCUAAUUAAUUAAAAAAAUAAAAAGAUAAAAAGACACAACAAAAUACUAGUACUACUCCUAUUACAUUUAAACAAAAUCCUAAAACCAACAAAACAAAAAAAUAAUUCUCAUUUCUCCCUCUGAGUUUCAUCUUCUAGUUUGUAGAAGUCUGUAGACAGUAGACACCCUUACUUAAUUAUAACGGCUAGUUGUCUUCAUCACAAACUAAUCAAAGUAUCUCCCAACAAUGGAGAUACAAAGUUCAAUUUUUUUUUUAAAAAUAAAAUUCCUAGAGUUUCUCUCAUUGAUUGGAUUCCCUCAGGUCUCAAUUUGACCCGAAAACUCUUCAACAAUGGCGUCGGAAAACCCUAAAUCCCCAAUUUCAACUUCAAUGCCGACAAAUCCUCGACAAUCUCGACCUAGGGUUGGUGAAAUCACUCUCUACGACGACCGAGCACCGAUUUUCGUCCUCCACAUUCGCGUUACGCUGACGAAAACAAGCAUGAUUUGCUCCGGUGUUGCCGAGAAUAUCCAGAAACGUGCAUAAUCAUUAUCUUCAAUGGAGAUAAAUGCUAACUUGAACUGAAGAUGGUUUGAACUUGUAUGAUUCUGGACAUCGAUUUGAACAUUUCCAUCUUUUGCUGGUUCUCUUAAAUCACUUCGCUAUGCUUCUACAGCAUUGUAAAGUCGAGCAUUGCAGUCAUCCAUCAUUGCAGCUGCCUUACUCAAAUGGAAGAAUGGCCUGAGUGGCUUUUGGAGGUUCUCAUUUCAAAUUAUGAGGUGUUCAUUUUCUGGGAGAUGGGAUAAAGAGAGCUUAUGAGGGUCGAGUUUCAAAGCCUCCACAAUAUGGGUUCACCCAUACAAUUCUCUCCUUGGGCUCCUGAGUAUGAAAUGCUUCCCCUCUCCUCCUCACUCCAGUAGUCCAGUUCAGAAGCAAUAUGUUUUUUUUGUUAUUCUCUGUGACAGGUUGAUCUUUUCACUUUUCACUGCCACGCCAAAAAAUAUUCCAGCUGAAAGCUUUUAUUGGCAAGAAGCCUCAUCUCAUUGAAGAUGCCAAUGACUUAUUUCGACAACUUCAGCAAACCAAAUUGAUGCCUUUAGCAGAUUCCAUAUCUUUAUAUACUACUCAAGAAAACCGGCGUUGGAAAGGGGUCUGUGUUCACUGUUGAUUGGGGACCUUGAUCAAUGUAAUGUCGGACAUGGUUGGGCCUGGACAAUGAAAAUUCACCCUAGCUUCAGAGAUCCAUCAGUAGUGGAGUUUGUUCUGGAGAACUCAGGGGAUUAUGAGGAUAAUGAUACACUCCCAGGACUUUGUAAACUGUUGGAAACCUGGCUCAUGGAGGUGGUUUCCACCAGAUUUAGGGAGACAAAAGGGGUUCAGUUCAGAGUUCAGACUUGGGGAUUAUUAUGAUGAUCCUAUUGUUCUGAAAUAUCUAGAGAGGCUAGAGGGCAAAUAGUGAGGAUUGGAGCUGGAGCUCAUGCAGUAAUCGAUAAUGUCACGACUAGUGUAAUACAGGCACUGCAGAAAGUAUUUCCUCCUAGCUCUGGAGUCUGGAGAAGAACGCAUAACACGGCAAGAAGAUGUUGCAGUUAAUGGCUUUGGAAAUGAGGAUGUUACAAUGGAGCUUGGCCGUGAUAACACUUUAGAUUAUGUGAACUGAACCCCUUUUGUGAUGGAAAUGUCUUGUUCCAAGUCCGGCUGGAAGAUCAUUGAAGGUGCUGUCCUCCAAUCUUAAGUUGCAACCAAUCUGUAAAUAUUUCUCCAUUAUCUUUUUUCCACAUUAGUUUGUUGGCCAUACUUGAUGAUGUUAUGUUAAUUUUUAUGCUAAACAACUUUGGGUCAUUAUCUUAAUUAGCUUGUUGAUGUAAUGCAAGUAGUCGGAUUCUUCGUACCAGUUGUGCCUUGCAUAAAUCCUGAAAAGUAUUUUUGGCAAAACUCUUAGCCCAAAAAACU
Beta vulgaris subsp. vulgaris (sugar beet) is the source of this 1957-nucleotide long non-coding RNA. RefSeq lists it as uncharacterized. NCBI's taxonomy places the organism in Eukaryota, Viridiplantae, Streptophyta, Magnoliopsida, Caryophyllales, Amaranthaceae. The record is from RefSeq and is a predicted model, not a curated record. The transcript is spliced from 4 exons.